RNAcentral lists this ribosomal RNA (509 nucleotides) under uncultured bacterium. RNAcentral describes it as "partial 16S ribosomal RNA". It matches the Rfam family "Bacterial small subunit ribosomal RNA", at positions 29 to 507 of the family's 1533-position model. The record is from RNAcentral.
ACGAACGCUGGCGGCGUGCUUAACACCUGCAAGUCGAACGAAGAGCGAUGGAAGCUUGCUUCUAUCAAUCUUAGUGGCGAACGGGUGAGUAACGCGUAAUCAACCUGCCCUUCAGAGGGGGACAACAGUUGGAAACGACUGCUAAUACCGCAUACGAUCUAAUCUCGGCAUCGAGGAUAGAUGAAAGGUGGCCUCUACAUGUAAGCUAUCACUGAAGGAGGGGAUUGCGUCUGAUUAGCUAGUUGGAGGGGUAACGGCCCACCAAGGCGAUGAUCAGUAGCCGGUCUGAGAGGAUGAACGGCCACAUUGGGACGGAGACACGGCCCAGACUCCUACGGGAGGCAGCAGUGGGGAAUCUUCCGCAAGAGACGAAAGUCUGACGGAGCAACGCCGCGUGAGCGAUGACGGCCUUCGGGUUGUAAAGCUCUGUUAAUCGGGACGAAAGGCCUUCUUGCGAAUAGUGAGAAGGAUUGACGGUACCGGAAUAGAAAGCCACGGCUAACUACGUG